Molecule: transfer RNA, 67 nt
Filed under: Marmota monax (woodchuck)
Lineage: Eukaryota; Metazoa; Chordata; Mammalia; Rodentia; Sciuridae
Description: tRNA.Ala
Rfam family: tRNA
About the family: Transfer RNA (tRNA) molecules are approximately 80 nucleotides in length. Their secondary structure includes four short double-helical elements and three loops (D, anti-codon, and T loops). Further hydrogen bonds mediate the characteristic L-shaped molecular structure. tRNAs have two regions of fundamental functional importance: the anti-codon, which is responsible for specific mRNA codon recognition, and the 3' end, to which the tRNAs corresponding amino acid is attached (by aminoacyl-tRNA synthetases). tRNAs cope with the degeneracy of the genetic code in two manners: having more than one tRNA (with a specific anti-codon) for a particular amino acid; and 'wobble' base-pairing, i.e. permitting non-standard base-pairing at the 3rd anti-codon position.
Source: RNAcentral
GGCUGUAGCUCAGUGGUAGAGUGCUUGCCUAGCAUGCGUGAGGCACUGGGUUCAAUCCUCAGCACCA